AACGAACGCUGGCGGCAUGCCUAACACAUGCAAGUCGAACGAAGGCUUCGGCCUUAGUGGCGCACGGGUGCGUAACGCGUGGGAAUCUGCCCUUUGGUUCGGAAUAACAGCUGGAAACGGCUGCUAAUACCGGAUGAUGACGAAAGUCCAAAGAUUUAUCGCCAGAGGAUGAGCCCGCGUUGGAUUAGGUAGUUGGUGGGGUAAAGGCCUACCAAGCCGACGAUCCAUAGCUGGUCUGAGAGGAUGAUCAGCCACACUGGGACUGAGACACGGCCCAGACUCCUACGGGAGGCAGCAGUGGGGAAUAUAGGGCAAUGGGCGCAAGCCUGAUCCAGCAAUGCCGCGUGAGUGAUGAAGGCCCUAGGGUUGUAAAGCUCUUUUACCCGGGAAGAUAAUGACUGUACCGGGAGAAUAAGCCCCGGCUAACUCCGUG
RNAcentral lists this ribosomal RNA (433 nucleotides) under uncultured bacterium. Its description in RNAcentral is "partial 16S ribosomal RNA". It matches the Rfam family "Bacterial small subunit ribosomal RNA", at positions 29 to 507 of the family's 1533-position model. The record is from RNAcentral.